UACGGGGGGGGCAAGCGUUGUUCGGAAUUACUGGGCGUAAAGGGUCUGUAGGUGGCCAACUAAGUCAGACGUGAAAUCCCUCAGCUUAACUGGGGAACUGCGUCUGAUACUGGUUGGCUUGAGUGCAGGAGAGGAAUGCGGAAUUCCAGGUGUAGCGGUGAAAUGCGUAGAUAUCUGGAGGAACACCGGUGGCGAAGGCGGAUCUCUGGGCCUGUCCUGACGCUCAGGCGCGAAAGCUAGGGGAGCAAACAGG
This 253-nucleotide ribosomal RNA is filed under the name uncultured bacterium. RNAcentral describes it as "partial 16S ribosomal RNA". It matches the Rfam family "Bacterial small subunit ribosomal RNA", at positions 524 to 776 of the family's 1533-position model. The record is from RNAcentral.